Molecule: non-coding RNA, 226 nt
Organism: Ixodes scapularis (black-legged tick)
Lineage: Eukaryota; Metazoa; Arthropoda; Arachnida; Ixodida; Ixodidae
Source: Rfam
UUCUGGGAGGAUUGACAGAUUCGGAGCUCUUUCUUGAUUCGGUGGAUAGUGGUGCAUGUCCGUUCUUAUUUGGUGGAGCGGUUUGUCUGGUUAAUUCCGGUAACAAACGAGACUCUAGUCGAUUAAGUAGGUGCGUGGUUCUCUGCACCUUGCACCCUUCUCAGAGGGACAAGCGGCUCCUAGCCGCACAAAACAGAGCAAUAACAGGUCUUUGAUGCCCUUAGAU